GUCCAGGGUAGCCUAGUGGACAUGGCAUCUGCCCGGUAAGCAGAACACUGUGGGUUCGAUUCUCAUUCCUGGGCA
This 75-nucleotide transfer RNA is filed under the name Cordylochernes scorpioides. RNAcentral's name for it is "tRNA-Thr". It matches the Rfam family "tRNA". Rfam says of the family: Transfer RNA (tRNA) molecules are approximately 80 nucleotides in length. The record is from RNAcentral. Lineage: Eukaryota; Metazoa; Arthropoda; Arachnida; Pseudoscorpiones; Chernetidae.